AUGGCCAAGAAAGGAAUCCAGUAUGUCGUGGUGGAUGCCUUCACGGCCGAGCCGUUCAAGGGCCACCCGGCCGCGGUGUGUUUCCUCGAGGACGACGCCGCCGCCCCCACGGGGGAUGGGCGGUGGAUGCAGUCCGUCGCCGUCGAGUUCAACCAGUCCCAGACCGCCUUCCUCUCCCGCGACUCCUCCUCCCUCGCAGCCGGCGCCGCCAUCCCGCGGUUCCACCUCCGCUGGUUCACCACCGUCACCGAGGUCGCGCUCUGCGGGCACGCGACGCUGGCGACCGCCCACUUCCUCUUCACGGCCGACCUCGGGGAGCGCCAUGGAGUGGUCGAGUUUGCGACCAAGUCAGGCAUCCUGACCGCCAAGAAGGUUCCUGCACCGGAGACGGAGGAGCAGGGGAAGCUGUUCAUUGAGCUGGACUUCCCCAUGAGUGAUUACGUGGGUUGCGAUCCCGCCGGCGAGCUGCCGUCCAUCCCGGAGACGCUCAACGGCGCGUCCGUCGUCAGUGUUCACAAAUCGUUGACCACCACCGACUUCAUUGUCGAACUUUCAUCAGGGAAAGAGGUCACCGAUCACCUCUUUCCCUGA
This 591-nucleotide ribosomal RNA is filed under the name Triticum aestivum (bread wheat). RNAcentral's name for it is "partial small subunit ribosomal RNA". The record is from RNAcentral. Lineage: Eukaryota; Viridiplantae; Streptophyta; Magnoliopsida; Poales; Poaceae.